CAGUCGCCGCGGUAAUACGGAAGGUCCAGGCGUUAUCCGGAUUUAUUGGGUUUAAAGGGAGUGUAGGCGGUCUGUUAAGCGUGUUGUGAAAUUUAGGUGCUCAACAUCUAACUUGCAGCGCGAACUGGCGGACUUGAGUGCACGCAACGUAUGCGGAAUUCAUGGUGUAGCGGUGAAAUGCUUAGAUAUCAUGACGAACUCCGAUUGCGAAGGCAGCGUACGGGAGUGUUACUGACGCUUAAGCUCGAAGGUGCGGGUAUCGAACAGGAUUAGAGACCCCUGUAGUCCCUGUCUCUUAUAC
This 301-nucleotide ribosomal RNA is filed under the name uncultured bacterium. RNAcentral's name for it is "partial 16S ribosomal RNA". It matches the Rfam family "Bacterial small subunit ribosomal RNA", at positions 509 to 807 of the family's 1533-position model. The record is from RNAcentral.